This 1546-nucleotide ribosomal RNA is filed under the name Salmonella enterica. RNAcentral's name for it is "bacterial SSU rRNA". It matches the Rfam family "Bacterial small subunit ribosomal RNA". The record is from RNAcentral. Lineage: Bacteria; Pseudomonadati; Pseudomonadota; Gammaproteobacteria; Enterobacterales; Enterobacteriaceae.
AAAUUGAAGAGUUUGAUCAUGGCUCAGAUUGAACGCUGGCGGCAGGCCUAACACAUGCAAGUCGAACGGUAACAGGAAGCAGCUUGCUGCUUCGCUGACGAGUGGCGGACGGGUGAGUAAUGUCUGGGAAACUGCCUGAUGGAGGGGGGAUAACUACUGGAAACGGUGGCUAAUACCGCAUAACGUCGCAAGACCAAAGAGGGGGGACCUUCGGGCCUCUUGCCAUCAGAUGUGCCCAGAUGGGAUUAGCUUGUUGGUGAGGUAACGGCUCACCAAGGCGACGAUCCCUAGCUGGUCUGAGAGGAUGACCAGCCACACUGGAACUGAGACACGGUCCAGACUCCUACGGGAGGCAGCAGUGGGGAAUAUUGCACAAUGGGCGCAAGCCUGAUGCAGCCAUGCCGCGUGUAUGAAGAAGGCCUUCGGGUUGUAAAGUACUUUCAGCGGGGAGGAAGGUGUUGUGGUUAAUAACCGCAGCAAUUGACGUUACCCGCAGAAGAAGCACCGGCUAACUCCGUGCCAGCAGCCGCGGUAAUACGGAGGGUGCAAGCGUUAAUCGGAAUUACUGGGCGUAAAGCGCACGCAGGCGGUCUGUCAAGUCGGAUGUGAAAUCCCCGGGCUCAACCUGGGAACUGCAUUCGAAACUGGCAGGCUUGAGUCUUGUAGAGGGGGGGUAGAAUUCCAGGUGUAGCGGUGAAAUGCGUAGAGAUCUGGAGGAAUACCGGUGGCGAAGGCGGCCCCCUGGACAAAGACUGACGCUCAGGUGCGAAAGCGUGGGGAGCAAACAGGAUUAGAUACCCUGGUAGUCCACGCCGUAAACGAUGUCUACUUGGAGGUUGUGCCCUUGAGGCGUGGCUUCCGGAGCUAACGCGUUAAGUAGACCGCCUGGGGAGUACGGCCGCAAGGUUAAAACUCAAAUGAAUUGACGGGGGGCCCGCACAAGCGGUGGAGCAUGUGGUUUAAUUCGAUGCAACGCGAAGAACCUUACCUGGUCUUGACAUCCACGGAAGGUCUCAGAGAUGAGACUGUGCCUUCGGGAACCGUGAGACAGGUGCUGCAUGGCUGUCGUCAGCUCGUGUUGUGAAAUGUUGGGUUAAGUCCCGCAACGAGCGCAACCCUUAUCCUUUGUUGCCAGCGAUUAGGUCGGGAACUCAAAGGAGACUGCCAGUGAUAAACUGGAGGAAGGUGGGGAUGACGUCAAGUCAUCAUGGCCCCUUACGACCAGGGCUACACACGUGCUACAAUGGCGCAUACAAAGAGAAGCGACCUCGCGAGAGCAAGCGGACCUCAUAAAGUGCGUCGUAGUCCGGAUUGAGUCUGCAACUCGACUCCAUGAAGUCGGAAUCGCUAGUAAUCGUGGAUCAGAAUGCCACGGUGAAUACGUUCCCGGGCCUUGUACACACCGCCCGUCACACCAUGGGAGUGGGUUGCAAAAGAAGUAGGUAGCUUAACCUUCGGGAGGGCGCUUACCACUUUGUGAUUCAUGACUGGGGUGAAGUCGUAACAAGGUAACCGUAGGGGAACCUGCGGUUGGAUCACCUCCUUA